RNAcentral lists this ribosomal RNA (460 nucleotides) under uncultured bacterium. Its description in RNAcentral is "partial 16S ribosomal RNA". It matches the Rfam family "Bacterial small subunit ribosomal RNA", at positions 338 to 795 of the family's 1533-position model. The record is from RNAcentral.
CCUACGGGCGGCAGCAGUGAGGAAUAUUGGUCAAUGGGCGGAAGCCUGAACCAGCCAAGUAGCGUGCAGGAUGACGGCCCUACGGGUUGUAAACUGCUUUUAUACGGGAAUAACGCGCCUUACGUGUAGGGCCUUGCAUGUACCGUAUGAAUAAGGACCGGCUAAUUCCGUGCCAGCAGCCGCGGUAAUACGGAAGGUCCGGGCGUUAUCCGGAUUUAUUGGGUUUAAAGGGGGCGUAGGCCGCAUGUCAAGCUUGCUGUGAAAUGUCCGGGCUCAACCCGGGCCUUGCAGCGCGAACUGGCGUGCUUGAGUCCGCGGAAAGCAGGCGGAAUUCGUGGUGUAGCGGUGAAAUGCUUAGAUAUGACGAAGAACCCCGAUUGCGAAGGCAGCAUGCUGCAGCGGAACUGACGCUGAUGCUCGAAAGCGCGGGUAUCGAACAGGAUUAGAUACCCCUGUAGUC